RNAcentral lists this ribosomal RNA (825 nucleotides) under Sarcocystis sp. RNAcentral's name for it is "SSU rRNA". It matches the Rfam family "Eukaryotic small subunit ribosomal RNA", at positions 258 to 1103 of the family's 1831-position model. Lineage: Eukaryota; Apicomplexa; Conoidasida; Eucoccidiorida; Sarcocystidae. The record is from RNAcentral.
GGGGGGGGUUAUCGGUCUGCGACGGAUCAUUCAAGUUUCUGACCUAUCAGCUUUCGACGGUACUGUAUUGGACUACCGUGGCAGUGACGGGUAACGGGGAAUUAGGGUUCGAUUCCGGAGAGGGAGCCUGAGAAACGGCUACCACAUCUAAGGAAGGCAGCAGGCGCGCAAAUUACCCAAUCCUGAUUCAGGGAGGUAGUGACAAGAAAUAACAACACUGGAAAUUUCAUUUCUAGUGAUUGGAAUGAUAGGAAUCCAAACCCCUUUCAGAGUAACAAUUGGAGGGCAAGUCUGGUGCCAGCAGCCGCGGUAAUUCCAGCUCCAAUAGCGUAUAUUAAAGUUGUUGCAGUUAAAAAGCUCGUAGUUGGAUUUCUGCUGGAAGCAGCCAGUCCGCCCUCAGGGGUGUGCACUUGGUGAAUUCUAGCAUCCUUCUGGAUUUCUCCACACUUCAUUGUGUGGAGUUUUUUCCAGGACUUUUACUUUGAGAAAAUUAGAGUGUUUCAAGCAGGCUUGUCGCCUUGAAUACUGCAGCAUGGAAUAAUAAGAUAGGAUUUCGGCCCUAUUUUGUUGGUUUCUAGGACUGAAGUAAUGAUUAAUAGGGACGGUUGGGGGCAUUCGUAUUUAACUGUCAGAGGUGAAAUUCUUAGAUUUGUUAAAGACGAACUACUGCGAAAGCAUUUGCCAAAGAUGUUUUCAUUAAUCAAGAACGAAAGUUAGGGGCUCGAAGACGAUCAGAUACCGUCGUAGUCUUAACCAUAAACUAUGCCGACUAGAGAUAGGAAAACGUCAUGCUUGACUUCUCCUGCACCUUAUGAGAAAAUCAAG